GGCUGCAGAAUUUAUAACUGUACAAAGGUAGCAUAAUAAUUUGUUUUUUAAUUAAAAACUAGUAUGAAUGAUUAAAUGAAAUAUAAACUGUUUCAAUUAAAUAAAAAUUUAAAUUUUUAUUUAAGUUAAAAAACUUAAAUAUAUUUAAAAGACGACAAGACCCUAUAGAAUUUUAUUUAUUAUUUAAUAAUAUAAUUUAAUUAAUCUAAUUAAAUUUAUAUAAAAAAUUUAAUUGGGGUAAUUUAAAAAUUUUAUAAAUUUUUUUUAUAUAAAACAUAAAUUAAUGAUUAUAAAAUCUUAAAAUUUAAAUUAUUAAAAUUAAUUACCUUAGGGAUAACAGCAUAAUUUUUUUUAAAAGCUCUUAUU
This 366-nucleotide ribosomal RNA is filed under the name Chorebus fallaciosae. RNAcentral describes it as "partial large subunit ribosomal RNA". The record is from RNAcentral. Lineage: Eukaryota; Metazoa; Arthropoda; Insecta; Hymenoptera; Braconidae.